UUUAAUUGAAACAUAAAUAAAAAUAUUAGUACCAAAAGAAUCGAAAUAUUGACACCAAUUAGAUAAAAAGUCUAAAAACUUAAUAACAUCUGAGUAAUUUAUCCCAAAUAUCACUGGUUGGAUUUCUUAGAACCAUGCUCGCCCCGACCCGAACAGGAAUCACUUCAUAUUCAAUAUAGUAUGAGGACACUCUAGGUGAAACCAAAAAAUAUAAUGAAGUGACAGAAAGGAUGAGGGGGUAGGCAUAUAUAGAAAGUCAAUAACAUCUUCAAACAUUAACAAAUGCAGUCAGCACCACCAAUAUAUCAAUAUAGCUAGCCUUCAUUGCAUCCCAAUAAUAAUAGGAAGAAGUUUUUGGUACUGCAAAUAUGUGCAGGAUUUUAAUUGCCAUCAGGCUGGUAAUUCCACCCGCUGUGCUGAAAAUGCACUCCAUUCGUCUAUACAGACAGCUAAUUAGUUCCUAACACCAACAUCAUUAAUUAAAUUUCAGCCUUAACAGUGACAACGUUCCUUAAUGUCUUACCUGCAAUGACAAGAAACUAGAUUAAUAAAUGUCAUGCUUGGCCGUUGAGAGUCUGAAAAUGAGAGAAUCUGAGUCUGGUAGUGUCCCAUAUUACUUACAAAAGUGCACGACCGAAUAGGCAGCAAGAUUGUUGCAGAAAAUGGUCAUGUGAUGCAUAUAAGUGUCUUGGACUUGGCUUGGCUACAUAUAAGAAUCUAAUUAAUA
RNAcentral lists this long non-coding RNA (727 nucleotides) under Ricinus communis (castor bean). RNAcentral's name for it is "long non-coding RNA (RCOM_LNC000906)". Lineage: Eukaryota; Viridiplantae; Streptophyta; Magnoliopsida; Malpighiales; Euphorbiaceae. The record is from RNAcentral.